GAGAGGGAGAGAGAGAGAGAGAGCUCAAUUUAAGUUGUUGAUUCUUAGAAGCUUCAAUCUAUGGCUUCUUGGGUUCUUUUACCCGUAGCUUCAGUAACCGGUCGCUGUCUAGUGGCUACUGUGAGAACUGAGAGGUCCUCCUCCAUCUGCGUUCGGUCUUCUCUGGACACUAAUGUUUCUGACAUGAGUGUAAAUGCUCCAAAAGGGUUGUUUCCACCUGGACACUACCGAGCUCCCGAGCAAAGUGGCUAUAAUUGGAGCUGGGCUUGCAGGCAUGUCAACAGUAAUUGAGCUUUUGGAUCAAGGCCACGAGGUUGGUCCAAUUUAUUUUCUAGUCCUCCGACUGCUCACGAGAAGCUUGCAGCCCAAGAUUAUAAGGAAUGCACAAAAGCUACUAAUACUACUGAUGAGCUGAGUCUUGUCUAAACACAUUGUCAUUUGUGAUUCAUUAGUUAGCACUGAGAAAAACCACCUCAUUAGAAUGGGAGAUAUUAGAAAGAAUUUAAAUACUCGUAUCCUAAUGUCGUUUGUACAAAUAAAAUAAUUGAAGAAAUAACAUUGGGCUAAAGUGGUAUUUUAUAUGACAAAA
Molecule: long non-coding RNA, 589 nt
Organism: Prunus dulcis (almond)
Lineage: Eukaryota; Viridiplantae; Streptophyta; Magnoliopsida; Rosales; Rosaceae
Exons: 2
Source: RefSeq, a predicted model, not a curated record